AGUGAACGCUGGCGGUAGGCCUAACACAUGCAAGUCGAACGGCAGCACAGUAAGAGCUUGCUCUUACGGGUGGCGAGUGGCGGACGGGUGAGGAAUACAUCGGAAUCUACUUUUUCGUGGGGGAUAACGUAGGGAAACUUACGCUAAUACCGCAUACGACCUACGGGUGAAAGCAGGGGAUCUUCGGACCUUGCGCGAUUGAAUUAGCCGAUGUCGGAUUAGCUAGUUGGCCGGGUAAAGGCCCACCAAGGCGACGAUCCGUAGCUGGUCUGAGAGGAUGAUCGGCCACACUGGAACUGAGACACGGUCCAUACUCCUACGGGAGGCAGCAGUGGGGAAUAUUGGACAAUGGGCGCAAGCCUGAUCCAGCCAUACCGCGUGGGUGAAGAAGGCCUUCGGGUUGUAAAGCCCUUUUGUUGGGAAAGAAAAGCAGCAGGUUAAUACCCCGCUGUUCUGACGGUACCCAAAGAAUAAGCACCGGCUAACUUCGUG
This 492-nucleotide ribosomal RNA is filed under the name uncultured bacterium. Its description in RNAcentral is "partial 16S ribosomal RNA". It matches the Rfam family "Bacterial small subunit ribosomal RNA", at positions 29 to 507 of the family's 1533-position model. The record is from RNAcentral.